This 655-nucleotide ribosomal RNA is filed under the name uncultured Paraglomus. RNAcentral's name for it is "SSU rRNA". It matches the Rfam family "Eukaryotic small subunit ribosomal RNA", at positions 357 to 1016 of the family's 1831-position model. Lineage: Eukaryota; Fungi; Glomeromycota; Glomeromycetes; Paraglomerales; Paraglomeraceae. The record is from RNAcentral.
GGGUAACGGGGAAUUAGGGUUCGAUUCCGGAGAGGGAGCCUGAGAAACGGCUACCACAUCCAAGGAAGGCAGCAGGCGCGCAAAUUACCCAAUCCCGACACGGGGAGGUAGUGACAAUAAAUAACAACACAGGGCUCUUUUGGGUCUUGUUAUUGGAAUGAGUACGAUUUAAAUCUCCUAACGAGGAACAAUUGGAGGGCAAGUCUGGUGCCAGCAGCCGCGGUAAUUCCAGCUCCAAUAGCGUAUAUUAAAGUUGUUGCAGUUAAAAAGCUCGUAGUUGAAUUUCAGGCCUGGCUGGACGGUCCGCCCUUCGGGUGAGUACUGUCUGUGGUCGGGUCCUACCUUCUGGCGAAGCGUCAUGGCCUUAACCGGCCGUGGCGGGGAACCAGGACUUUUACUGUGAAAAAAUUAGAGUGUUCAAAGCAGGCAAUCGCUUGGAUACAUUAGCAUGGAAUAAUGGAAUAGGACAAUGGUUCUAUUUGUUGGUUUCUAGGACCGUUGUAAUGAUUAAUAGGGAUAGUUGGGGGCAUUAGUAUUCAAUUGUCAGAGGUAAAAUUCUUGGAUUUAUUGAAGACUAACUACUGCGAAAGCAUUUGCCAAGGAUGUUUUCAUUAAUCAAGAACGAAAGUUAGGGGAUCGAAGACGAUCAGAUACC